Orcinus orca (killer whale) is the source of this 745-nucleotide long non-coding RNA. RefSeq lists it as uncharacterized. The record is from RefSeq and is a predicted model, not a curated record. NCBI's taxonomy places the organism in Eukaryota, Metazoa, Chordata, Mammalia, Artiodactyla, Delphinidae. The transcript has 4 exons.
GUCAGUAUAAUGGGGGAUCAUUGCAGUGUGGCCAGAGAGGGGCAGACGUGAUUACAGAUGAAAGUAGAGGAAAGUGGUGAGCAGGGGCGGAGAGAGGAAAAGCCAGACAUAUGCAAUCGUUCUUCCAAAGGAUUUUAGAAGAGAUCAUUUAUUUGAAGUACUCCUGACAUGUUGAUGGAGCAGCUCAAUCUUUUGCCAGUGAACGUUUAGCCUUUUGUUUUUCAUUUAUAGAUAUAUUUGAAUAUAUACUUAGGACAUGUAAUAACUAUGGAACUUCACCACAAACACAGCACUGAGGACAGACACGUUAACUUGAUGUGCACCUGGUGACUCAUUCGUCUUGUGGCUGCCUCUGGAUUCGUGAGUUUGGUGCCUAGAAAGAAAUAACCAACAAAUCAAAGUCUAUUUCUUUGAUGCACAUGUUGGCACCCUUUGAAAGAUCCAGAAAUCCACAUAUUGAACAUGAAUCUAGGGCUGCGGUUGCUGCAAAGGCCUCUCACUGCUGUGGCUUCUCCCGUUGCGGAGCGCAGGCUCCGGAUGCACAGGCUCAGCGGCCAUGGCUCGCGGGCCUAGCCGCACCGCGGCAUGUGGGAUCUUCCCGGACCGGAGCACGAACCCGUGUCCCCCUGCAUUGGCAGGCGGACUCUCAACCACUGCGCCACCAGGGAAGCCCUCAUUUUUAUUUUUAAUCUUCCAAAAAUGUGUUGGUCAGUCCCCUGUUUUUAUUUGUUAAACUUUAGAAAUA